UGCGUAGGCGGGCAGGUAAGUCCGUGGUGAAAUCUCUGAGCUUAACUCAGAAACUGCCAUGGAUACUAUUUGUCUUGAAUAUUGUGGAGGUGAGCGGAAUAUGUCAUGUAGCGGUGAAAUGCUUAGAUAUGACAUAGAACACCAAUUGCGAAGGCAGCUCACUACACAAUUAUUGACGCUGAGGCACGAAAGCGUGGGGAUCAAACAGGAUUAGAUACCCUGGUAGUCCACGCCCUAAACGAUGAUUACUCGACAUCAGCGAUACACUGUUGGUGUCUGAGCGAAAGCAUUAAGUAAUCCACCUGGGAAGUACGAUCGCAAGAUUGAA
Molecule: ribosomal RNA, 328 nt
Filed under: uncultured Sphingobacteriaceae bacterium
Lineage: Bacteria; Pseudomonadati; Bacteroidota; Sphingobacteriia; Sphingobacteriales; Sphingobacteriaceae
Description: bacterial SSU rRNA
Rfam family: Bacterial small subunit ribosomal RNA
Source: RNAcentral